AAAUAGGUUUUAAAAACCACCAAAAGAUUUUAGAAGAAAAUCU
Myotis lucifugus (little brown bat) is the source of this 43-nucleotide non-coding RNA. NCBI's taxonomy places the organism in Eukaryota, Metazoa, Chordata, Mammalia, Chiroptera, Vespertilionidae. The record is from Rfam.